Molecule: long non-coding RNA, 1551 nt
Organism: Aotus nancymaae (Ma's night monkey)
Lineage: Eukaryota; Metazoa; Chordata; Mammalia; Primates; Aotidae
Source: Ensembl
AAUUUCUUUUUUUUCGAGACAGAGUCUCACUCUGUCACCCAGGCCAAAACAAGAGGAUCACUUGAGCUCUAGAGUUUGAGUCCAGCCUGGGCAACAUAGAGAGACCCUAUCUUUACAAAAAAUUUAAAGCUUAGUUGCAUGUGGUGGCAUAAGCCUGUAGUACCAGCUACUCAGGAAGCUGAGGUGGGAGGAUCACUUGUGCCAGAAAGGUCAAGGCUACAGUAAGCUGUGAUUGUGCCACUGCAUUCCAGCCUGGGCAACAGAGCAAGACAUAAAAAAAAAAAUUAUUUUUUAUACCAAGAAUUUAUUUACAUUGCCAAUUUUUCCUAGGUACAAAUGAUGCAAAAUGUGCACCUGGAUCCAGAGACAGAUGAAGAUGAUCUUUAUUCUGGCUAUAAUGACUACAGUCCAAUUUAUGAUAUUGAGGAAUUGGAGAAUGACGCAGCUUUUCAGCAAGCUGUGAGAACUAGUCAUGGCAGAAGACCUCCAAUAACUGCUAAAAUACCAAGCACGGCAGUUACUAGACCUAUAGCUACUGGAAAUGGGUCUAAGACAUCCCUGGCAUCAUUCAUAGGAAGACCAGUGACAGGGGCUAUUCAGGUAUCUCUAUUGUAUGCUUGUUCAUGUUGUGCCUUUAUUGUGACUUGAAAUUUACUACUAAAGGUUUUUUACUUUAUUAUUAUAAAAUUUAAAGAAGAUAUUACUCAUAUAGUGACCCAGAUUCUUUAUAUUGUGGGGUGAAGUCUAGACUGUCUUAAAUCUUUGAAGGCGAGGUCUCUUUAGAUAUAUUUACUCAGGUCUCAAAUGAAUUCCCAUUGGGGAGUGGACAGAACUGAUAAUUGCUUAUAUGAUGUAUUCUGGGGCUCAUUUUUCCUGUGCUACCAUUUACAACAAAUUCUGUGGUUUCUCUCACAAGGAUGUAAGAAACCAACCAAAAGUAAGAGAGUAGCUGGCUAAUAAGCUAAUUAAUUUUUUCCAACUAUAAGCCCAGUUAGAUCAAAUAAUUGAAAUUCUAAAGUGGAGAGAGGACAGGAUUGAUACAUGAGGAGGUGGAAGUAAGGAGUAAACAUAUAGUGAUUAAAAAUUGGCAUUUUUAAAUGGGGCUAUAUUAAGGUGUGUGUAAUGUGUAGAACUGUACAUAGGAGCUAGAUCUUAUUUAAGAAUCCUUUUUAAAUGAUUCCCAUUCUCUUUAAAGGAUGGAGUUACUAGACCCAUGACAGCAGUGAGAGCAGCUGGUUUUACCAAAGCAGCUUUGAGAGGUUUGUUACACUGUCUCUAAUAAUAAUCUUUUCUGGAUCUUUUAAUCUUUUACCAUUUUGUGAGUAUAAAUAUUUAAUGCCAUUUUAAAUAAAAUCUAACCAAUGCCGUUGAUUAUAAGAUUGCACCGAUAUUUUAGGUACCAUUAAAAAAGGAAAGGGAUGGCCAGGAGUGGUCACUCAUACCUGUAAUCCCAGCAUUCUGGGAGGCUGAGGCGGGCGGGAUCACAAGGUCAAGAGAUGGAGACCAUCCUGCCAACAUGGUUGAAACCCCACUCCUCUACUGAAAUACAAA